GUGGAUUAGAUACCCUGGUAGUCCACGCCCUAAACGAUGUCUACUAGUUGUCGGGUUUUAAUUAACUUGGUAACGCAGCUAACGCGUGAAGUAGACCGCCUGGGGAGUACGGUCGCAAGAUUAAAACUCAAAGGAAUUGACGGGGACCCGCACAAGCGGUGGAUGAUGUGGAUUAAUUCGAUGCAACGCGAAAAACCUUACCUACCCUUGACAUGUCAGGAAGACCGAAGAGAUUUGGUUGUGCCCGAAAGGGAACCUGAACACAGGUGCUGCACGGUUGUCGACAACU
RNAcentral lists this ribosomal RNA (289 nucleotides) under uncultured bacterium. RNAcentral's name for it is "partial 16S ribosomal RNA". It matches the Rfam family "Bacterial small subunit ribosomal RNA", at positions 773 to 1060 of the family's 1533-position model. The record is from RNAcentral.